Molecule: long non-coding RNA, 3439 nt
Filed under: Nicotiana tabacum (common tobacco)
Lineage: Eukaryota; Viridiplantae; Streptophyta; Magnoliopsida; Solanales; Solanaceae
Description: long non-coding RNA (NTAB_LNC017301)
Source: RNAcentral
UAAUGGGCAAAAUACACAAAAAUAUACCUAAACCUAGACUCUACCUAUAAAUCAAUGCUUAAAAACAUCAAAAAGAAAAAAAGAACGCAUAUACACAGAAAAAGUUGCGCAGCAAAUACAGGACUCCUCCCCCCUUCGGAUCGUCUUCUUCAUAGAACCCCCGCCCCCUUGACCUCAUCCUUCAUCAUCAGCCAUCAAUCCCAAACAACCGAAGACCCUCCCGUCAUCGCCUCCUACACAAAACCAGCGAGAACGGACCCUCCAAUCUCUCUCGAUCUCUGAGAACGACGAGUAGUAGCAGACCCCUUCCAUCGCCGGAAAUUCAAAAACAGCCCGACCUUCACCCAACUCCCCCACCUCAUCUCACCUCGCCGCUGUCUAUUCCACCAACGACCCCAUAUCCGGCAGGCUUCGCCCUCACGCACACACACAAAGACGAAACAACAGUAUGACUUCUUCGUUCAAUACGUCCGUUAGUUAUUUCACUCUCAGAUCUGUUGAUCUUCCUUGGUUUGCUAUUUUCACCCCUACUGUCAUUACUUCUUCUUCCGUUUGACAUUACCUAUUCCAUUUUCGGAUAGGAUUAUGAAACUCAGCUACAAAUCACACUAAAUGGUAUGAAGCAGAUCCAAAUCGCUAGUCACUGUUGCAAUCUGUUGAUUUCAUUAUUUGGUUUAAUUCGAGUUUUCUAGCAAGUUCCGAGUUCGCCGAAGAUCGUAGUCUGAGGUUGCCGAGGGGUUUUUCUGGCCUAGUUCCGGCUUUAGUUCCUAUUAACACAGUGUUAUUGCAAUCGGAAAUGCCAUCAUUUUAAGGUCCAUCUUUAACCUUGUUCUUUCUAAAGUGUUCUGUCUUUUGCUUUAUCUCUUAUGGUUAAGAAUGUUGAAUGACUUUUUCAUUGUUAGUUGCAUACUGUGACUGAAACGAAUUAGUUCGUUAAAUCAAGUUAAUUUCUUGAAAUUCGAUGAUAGCACAUAUCCAUCUGCUUGAUUAAGCUAUUUUAAGGACCUUUAAUUAGGGACAAAUCCUUACACCUUUGGAACAUUGACGUGGCAUUAUGUUGCUUGAUAUACGGGCUCGAAUUGUUUUGGGUAGUUAAAAGGAUGAUGGAAGUAUUGCAUUUGUCAUUUUAAUUAUUUUAUUUUACUUGCUUGAUCCGUUAGUAGCAUGUUUAGGCUGGCGUUGUGUAGGUAAACUUUAGGAGCGUAAAUGAAUAAAUCGUGACUACGGGUACGGUUCCCGUGACGUAGUUGCAACACUCAAUUUUGAAUUUAGUGUUAACUAUGACCAUCUGUAGUUAAAUGUUUUUCCCUUUAGGAAUCGAGGUGUGCCAUUUAGUUGAAUUUUCCAUGGCCCUCGCAAACUUGAAAGUGCGUAGUUUCUUUAGGAUCGCUAUUUAAAGAUUACUUCCCUAAACUCGGGUGCGCAUUUAUGUGACCCAAAUUCGAAUCUCAACGUUAGAUAAAGUGUGUUGCGAACUGCGGGUGCAUUUAUGUGACGUUGUUUGAAACAUAUUUUAAAUCGUUAGAAUCUUCCUUUAAUUAAUUAAAUAAAGUGGUUAUAAAAGUUAAAAUUGAGCCAUAGGCUACAACAUGUAUUAAAAAUCAGAUAAUUAAGCCGAAUAUAACAGUUGAGCGACCGUGCUAGAACCACGGAAUCCGGGAAUGCCUAACACCUUCUCCCGGGUUAAUAGAAUUCCUUACCUGGAUUUCUGGUUCGCGGACUGUAAUACAGAGUCAAGCUUUUCCUCGAUUCGGGAUUCAACCGGUGACUUGGGACACCAUAAAUCUCCCAAGUGGCGACUCUGAAUCUUUAAUUGCAAUUAUCCCGUUUCGAUUGUACUUUAAUUGGAAAAACUCCCUUAUGCACCUUUUAUCGAGGUGUAGGGAAAAAGGAGGUGUUACAAUCUUUUAACAUGGUUUCAACUUAAAAUCAAAGAUUUUCAUGGGGGAAAUUGGGUAUUUUGGGUAGAACCUAGGUUUUCCAAAAAAAUUGGGGAGUUGGACCUCAAUUUGAAGUCCGAUUUCAAAACAAAUUAUACAUUUGGAUUCAUAGGGGAAUGGGUAAUCGGUUUUUGGUCCGAACCUCGGGUUCGACCAUGUGGGCCGGGGGUGAUUUUUGACUUUUUGCGUAAAACUUUGGGNNNNNNNNNNNNNNNNNNNNNNNNNNNNNNNNNNNNNNNNNNNNNNNNNNNNNNNNNNNNNNNNNNNNNNNNNNNNGUUUGGUCUAACCUUAGCUUGAGGGAUUAGGAGUUGAGUCUUAUUUGCUACAUGCUAAUUGUCGAGUACGACGUAUAAGCAUGGUGACGAGUAUCUAUAUGUUAGUGUCUAGCAUGACCGUGAGUCUUUAUAUUGCGGAUAUUCUAAUCUUGUUGUAUCUUUCAUGCCUUAAUGAUGAUUUCUAUAUGUUGUAAAAAGCAUGUGAAAGAAAUUGUGAUCUUUAAACUUCGAGAAGCAUUGGCUCGAGUGGUAAUACGAAUUGUGAAAGUAUAUGAGAUAAAUGGAACCCUUUGGAGCAUUGGCUCAAGUGGUAAAGUGAGUUAUAAAGUAAGAAGUGAAAGAAAGAGAAAGAGUUAUUGAAUUGUUCCCUUGCUGGGAUGCUUGUUGCUUUGUUGAUUAUCUCCCUUGGUGGGAUGCUUGUUGCUUUGUUGAUUAUCUCCCUUGCCGGGAUGUUGAGAUUUAAUGAUAUUGUUCCCUUGCCGGGACUUAGUUGUUUAAUUGUAUUCCCCUGCCAGGAUUUCUAUUAUUAUUAUUUGUUUAAUCCCUUUACCCUUGUUUGUGAUUGUUGUCUGGGUGAGGAAUAGCGAUAAAGCACGAAGGGUGAUGUCGUGCAUUGUUUGCUGUUGUGAGGAAAGAGUGUAAAGCAUGAAGGGUGAUGUUGUGCCGUACAAUGUACCAUUCCGUACCGAUAUUCAUUGUUUGCGAUUGUAAGGAAAGAGUGUAAAGCACGAAGGGUGAUACCGUGCCAUACGAUUUACCAUUAUGUACCGAUAUUCAUUGACUAUAUUGUGAGGAAAGAGAGUAAAAGCACGAAAGGUGAUGCCGUGCACAUUAUUAAGAUACAAUUGAUUUGGUGAGGACGAGAGUAAAAGCACGAAGGGUGAUGCCGUGCAUUUGUUGAUUUCUGAUUUCCUUGUAAACAUGUGUGACUAAAUCUUUCACCAGAAGCUGGUAGGCUAACUGGCUUUAUCUCAAGACAGAAAUUUUGUGAUGCUGGUAGGCAAACACAACAUAACUACCUAUCAGAAGACUUAGAGGGGUGCGAGAGAAGAUAAAGUUUAUAUCACAGUUCAAAUAAAUAUCAAAGCGGUAAAUAAGUGACAAAUAGCACAUUAGGCUUCCAAAUACAAUAAUAUCCAAAACAUGAUAAAAGCCAAACAAGAAUCAACAUACAAAACUCGAAUUCUUAUUAAUUAUUCCCCAGCAGAGUCGCCAGAGCUGUC